Molecule: ribosomal RNA, 725 nt
Filed under: uncultured fungus
Lineage: Eukaryota; Fungi
Description: eukaryotic LSU rRNA
Rfam family: 5.8S ribosomal RNA (bases 323-476)
Source: RNAcentral
CUUGGUCAUUUAGAGGAAGUAAAAGUCGUAACAAGGUUUCCGUAGGUGAACCUGCGGAAGGAUCAUUACAGAAUAAACUUGAUGGGUUGUAGCUGGUUCUCUCGGGAGCAUGUGCUCGCCUGUCACUUUUGUUUUUCCACCUGUGCACCAUUUGUAGCCUUGGAAUUAUAAAACUAUCUGAAUGCUUUUCAGUAUGAGGGUUUGCUGGGCCACACUUGGCUAAGCUUCCCUUGCUGGUUUCAAGGCUAUGUUUUCUUUUAUACACCCCUGUAGUAUGCCUCAGAAUGAUAUUCAAGGGCCCUAGUGCCUAUAAAGUUUAUACAACUUUCAGCAACGGAUCUCUUGGCUCUCGCAUCGAUGAAGAACGCAGCGAAAUGCGAUAAGUAAUGUGAAUUGCAGAAUUCAGUGAAUCAUCGAAUCUUUGAACGCACCUUGCGCCCCUUGGUAUUCCGAGGGGCAUGCCUGUUUGAGUGUCAUUAAAUUCUCAACCCCUGGAUCUUUCUCGGGGCUUGGACUUGGAGUGUGCUGGCAUCUGGUCGGCUCCUCUCAAAUGCAUCGGCGGAAUUGAACCUUUGGUGUCCGUGCAUCAGUGUGAUAAUUAAUGUUGCGCUGUCGUCGGUCAUGGAAGUCCGCUUAUAAUGGUCUUCGGACAAACCCUUCAUCAAAUUUGACCUCAAAUCAGGUAGGACUACCCGCUGAACUUAAGCAUAUCAAUAAGCGGAGGA